UUAGAAAUUUUCUUUUUCAGUCAGUUGGUUGACAUAUGGCAUAUUAUAAAUAUACAUAAAUAAAACCAUGUUAAUUCACGUAGUAGUGCAAAUUCUCCUAUUAUUCCUUUCCGUUUGCAUCGGCGAAGUUGAAAAGUUGAACUUCAUCGUCGUGAUCACGUCCGCCAAGUCGGACUGCAACGCUCUGAUCCGUACGAGCGUCGUACUACAUACGCUCUGCAGCUGCGUCACAGUGCCGAAGGGCGACAGCAUCGUCCCAGUCCCCCUGGACUCGAUUAAAGUAGUGACAGGAGUCGGAGUGAAGCUGGUAUCGCGCAUCAUAGCGCAUCCAAAGUGCAAGAUUUCCGACGGCAUCUACGUCUACAACUCCGCCCUUAUAUUCCUUCAGAGCCAGAUCGACCUGAUGGUCGCCCACGAGCCGGUGCGCGAGCCCGCCUUCUCUCGGAGGGAAUUCGACUCAGCCAUGAAGCUGAGGUUGCCUUGCAGCGUGUUCGGCACGGUCAGAACGGCGUGCGAGCCGGCGUUCCUGUCCGACUGCGUCAACGUCGACGAAUGCACGGAUCCGAUCUGUAUCGCCUACCUGAAACACAUGACGUUCUGCAUGAAACCGGAGAACCUGAGCAAGCCCGCGAUCCCAGGGGCUCCAUUGGUCUGCAGCAGCGGUCUGGUCUGGGGUGUGAAACUAUCCGAUCACCUUAACUUCACUCUCUUCAUGAAGACCACGGUCUUCGACGAACUUGAAAAAUCCUGCUCGCCUCCGGCAAUCCGAAUUGGGUCAUACCUCCUAUUAGUCCUUGCGUCCAAAUCUAUCGAAUCCCUGUUAUAUUUAAGGCAAUAAAUAUAUAAACAAAGUCUUGACGUUUCCUUCGGUCUCUUGUUUAAGACCAUUGCCGACAUUCCAACACAUAUGGUCGUUGAAAAACAAAAUUGACUCAGUUGUCGUUCGUUUUUCAAUUGUCUUUCGUCGGUAAAGUAAAAAUCUCAACCUUUGUUACCUGUGACGGCUGAGUUUCGCGUUCCAGGCAUGGAUCGGGCUCCCAGGCCCGAGCCUCCGGGGAGGAGGGCGGAUCUUCACCGGACGGUCCUCAGGCGUAUCAAGUGCGAGAUAAAAUCGUGCAAGAGCUUCUGCGACAGGCGGCUGAAGCGUCGCGUCCUCCCGGCCCAGCAUGACGAGGAGACGAGGUUCGGCAUCAGGCUGUCGAGCAAGUUCACGUGCUUGGACCUGUCACGACUGGAGUUCGUCGCACCGAUCCAGAGGUUCAAGUACGCUGAGUUGACCGUGGCCGUCCUUUCGGGACGAGCGGGGGCGGCCAAGAGGUUUCUCCGCCGGCUCACGAGGCGGAUCAAGGAGUGCAAGUCCGUCUACGACCGGCUCCGAGGCCGGGUCGCACCCAAGGAGCGGAUCUCUGUCUCCGAGAAGGUCCGCGAGCCAUGCUGGUGCUACUCGGGCCGGUUGGACCUGGCCGGGAGCGGACACGGAGACGAAGCUCUCAUAGGGCUCAGGACGUGCUCCGCCUUUCAGAUCAAGGAGGAACCCGCCCGAUAACCAUCCACCUUUCCCCUUCACGUUUGAAUGAAAUCCUAUCGUUUAUUACAAUAAAUUGACUGUUGAGAUUAUGGA
This 1621-nucleotide unclassified non-coding RNA is filed under the name Cimex lectularius (bed bug). Its description in RNAcentral is "uncharacterized LOC106670870, transcript variant X1". Lineage: Eukaryota; Metazoa; Arthropoda; Insecta; Hemiptera; Cimicidae. The record is from RNAcentral.